Molecule: ribosomal RNA, 301 nt
Filed under: uncultured bacterium
Lineage: Bacteria
Description: partial 16S ribosomal RNA
Rfam family: Bacterial small subunit ribosomal RNA
Source: RNAcentral
CAGCAGCCGCGGGAAUACGUAGGGUGCAAGCGUUAAUCGGAAUUACUGGGCGUAAAGCGUGCGCAGGCGGUCCGCUAAGACAGAUGUGAGAUCCCCGGGCUUAACCUGGGAACUGCGCUUGUGACUGCACAGCUAGAGUAUGGCAGAGGGGGGUGGAAUUCCACGUGUAGCAGUGAAAUGCGUAGAGAUGUGGAGGAACACCGAUGGCGAAGGCAGCCCCCUGGGCCAAUACUGAUGCUCAUGCACGAAAGCGUGGGGAGUAAACAGGAUUAGAGACCCCUGUAGUCCCUGUCUCUUAUAC